This 21-nucleotide non-coding RNA is filed under the name Caenorhabditis elegans. The record is from RNAcentral. Lineage: Eukaryota; Metazoa; Nematoda; Chromadorea; Rhabditida; Rhabditidae.
UAGAAAAUUCAAGAAUGUUAU